UGUUGUUUUCUCGAAAAUCAAUUAAAAAAGGCAGGAUUUUGUGUUGUAUUGACUUUAUCAGCUUUCUGCACUCUUUUCUUGUCUUUUUUAAUGCACUUUUCGUUUAACAAGUCAACAUCAAUUUCUUUUGUUGUAAAAGGGUCAUUGGAAGGUGGCUUUCUUUUCGGAGAAAGUGUUUAUAGCCUUUGGCCUCUGCAAUCGGAGAGAUUGAGGUCUGCAGCGUAGAUCCUUCGGGGUUAGAUACAUUUGUGCUAAGUUAUAGCCUUUCAUAGACAACUUGUUGACUAUGAUCAGUUAUGUAGCUUACUCGCUUAUGCUAUUUUACCUAC
Molecule: ribosomal RNA, 329 nt
Filed under: Neocallimastigales sp.
Lineage: Eukaryota; Fungi; Neocallimastigomycota; Neocallimastigomycetes; Neocallimastigales
Description: partial large subunit ribosomal RNA
Source: RNAcentral